UGGAUUGUGCCAUCCAAGCCGGACCGUUCUUU
This 32-nucleotide non-coding RNA is filed under the name Homo sapiens (human). The record is from RNAcentral. Lineage: Eukaryota; Metazoa; Chordata; Mammalia; Primates; Hominidae.